AUUGAACGCUGGCGGCAGGCCUAACACAUGCAAGUCGAAUGGUAACAGGAAACAGCUUGCUGUUUCGCUGACGAGUGGCGGACGGGUGAGUAAUGUCUGGGAAACUGCCUGAUGGAGGGGGAUAACUACUGGAAACGGUAGCUAAUACCGCAUAACGUCGCAAGACCAAAGAGGGGGACCUUCGGGCCUCUUGCCAUCAGAUGUGCCCAGAUGGGAUUAGCUAGUAGGUGGGGUAACGGCUCACCUAGGCGACGAUCCCUAGCUGGUCUGAGAGGAUGACCCAGCAAAACGGAACUGAGACACGGUCCAGACUCCUACGGGAGGCAGCAGUGGGGAAUAUUGCACAAUGGGCGCAAGCCUGAUGCAGCCAUGCCGCGUGUAUGAAGAAGGCCUUCGGGUUGUAAAGUACUUUCAGCGGGGAGGAAGGGAGUAAAGUUAAUACCUUUGCUCAUUGACGUUACCCGCAGAAGAAGUACCGGCUAACUCCGUG
Molecule: ribosomal RNA, 490 nt
Filed under: uncultured bacterium
Lineage: Bacteria
Description: partial 16S ribosomal RNA
Rfam family: Bacterial small subunit ribosomal RNA
Source: RNAcentral